This 285-nucleotide unclassified non-coding RNA is filed under the name Hevea brasiliensis (rubber tree). The record is from RNAcentral. Lineage: Eukaryota; Viridiplantae; Streptophyta; Magnoliopsida; Malpighiales; Euphorbiaceae.
GGAGACGAUCCAUGGGAGGCGUUUGUCAAUAACGUCUGGUAUAUAAAAAUCCUUUCACCCGAAGAUGUGCAGAAGCUGGGAAAGGAAGAGGCUGAAUCCCUGAACCGUGGAGCGGUUGAAAGGAUGAGCAGCACUAAUGCUGAUGAUCGGGAUCUUAUUUCUGGAAUGCCAUCUCUUGGAUCGCUGGAGUACUGAUUGUUGGAAUGCUUCAAAAGAAGAGGACUGAUUCUGAUUCUCAAUCUUCUCAAGGGUCAGAAAUUCAAAUUUCAUGCUUCAUAACCUGGC